GGAAGGAUCAUUCCUUUUAAAAAAUUAAUCGACGUUGAACCGGUUGUUGGGCGCAAGCCUGGCAGUCACCGUAAACAAAAUUUGUAUAAAUAUAAACAAUAUCCAACUGUAAGCAACGGAUACCUCGGCUAUCACAACGAUGAAGAACGCAGCAAAGCGCGAUAGGAAUUGCGAAUUGCAGAAUUCAGUGAAUCAUCGUACUUUUGAACGCAAUUGCGCUUGAGGGCAACCUUGAGCAUGCCUCUUUGAGUAUCGGUAAAACCAAAAGCAUUUUGAAUGCUUGACAUGGCGGUUAUUAUCAAUCCGCUUAAACAAUACGAGUGUUUAAUGUUGACAUAAAAGUUUUGCUUGAUGUUGGUGGCAACACUUUGCAUUGCAGCAUCUCUUUUCAUCAAUACGACAACACACAAGUUUUUUUCACGAAAAACUACUACCAAUUUGGAUCUCAAAUGAGGCAAGACCACCCCCUGAAUUUAAGCAUAUAAUUAAGGGGAGGAAAAGAAACUAACUAGGAUUCCCUGAGUAACUGCGAGUGAAACGGGAAGAGCUCAACCUUGAAAUCGGUGCGGGUCUCCUGUAUCGAGUUGUGGGUUGUGGAAGUAUUCUCAGCAAGUGGCCCUGCUCUAAGUCUGCUGGAAUGCAGCUGUCAUAGAGGGUGAGAAUCCCGUCUUGGGGUGGGAGACUGCUGCGUACGAGGUGCUUUCCGAGAGUCGGGUUGCUUGGGAGUGCAGCCUUAAAUGGGAGGUGAAUUCCUUCCAAAGCUAAAUACCUGUGAUAGACCGAUAGCGCACAAGUACCGUAAGGGAAAGGUGAAAAGGACUUUGAAAAGAGAGUCAAAAGUACUUGAAAUUGCUUAUAGCCAACGGAUAGGAACUAUUGGAUCGGUUAGUCGUAUGCUUUUUUGGAAGGAUCAGGUUUUUGUUCGUGUGUCGAGUCUUGUGCUUGGCUGUGGAUAGGGACUGGUAGGUUUUUUCAAAGGGGGAUUAGCGGCUAUAGAUGUCAAGAUGAGUUUUGAGCGAGGGAAAAGAGUGGUGUGGAGGUAUAGGUUGAGCCUGCAAGGGUGAUCCUUGAGUACAUGCUGCGGAUACCUUGUUUGGGACUGAGGUAUGAUUUUGACGAAAUGGUUCUUAUUCACCCGUCUUGAAACACGGACCAAGGAGUGUAAGGUGUAUGCGAGUGUUUGGGUGUAAAACCCGUGCGCGUAAUGAAAGUGAGGUCAUCGCAAGAUGAUGAGGUGUUUAUGCAGUCUUUAUAAAAGGCGAGCAGUCCACACCGCCCGGCCCUUCCCUAGUGUUGGGUACGAGGACGAGCAUAUACGUUGCGACCCGAAAGAUGGUGAACUAUACCUGAGCAGGGUGAAGCCAGGGGAAACUCUGGUGGAAGCUCGUAGCGAUACUGACGUGCAAAUCGUUCGUCGGACUUGGGUAUAGGGGCGAAAGACUAAUCGAACCAUCUAGUAGCUGGUUCCCCC
This 1471-nucleotide unclassified non-coding RNA is filed under the name uncultured fungus. RNAcentral's name for it is "sequence contains 18S rRNA gene, ITS1, 5.8S rRNA gene, ITS2, 28S rRNA gene". The stretch from base 441 to 1471 matches the Rfam family "Eukaryotic large subunit ribosomal RNA", at positions 1 to 961 of the family's 3401-position model. Lineage: Eukaryota; Fungi. The record is from RNAcentral.